Molecule: long non-coding RNA, 2612 nt
Organism: Sapajus apella (tufted capuchin)
Lineage: Eukaryota; Metazoa; Chordata; Mammalia; Primates; Cebidae
Exons: 2
Source: RefSeq, a predicted model, not a curated record
ACUCCUGACCCCAAGUGAUACACCUGCCUCAGCCUCCCAAAGUGCUGGGAUUACAGGCCUGAGCCACCAUGCCUGGGCUCUCCAUGAAAUCUUGCAAACAUCCCAUGGCUUUCCUGUGAAUUAGUUGCAGCCCACAGCUUGGCCUGUAUCUCAUCUAAGGCAAAAGAGGGGAACUAGAACAUGGAGAAAUAUUCCCAGGAGUCUACCACCCUCCUGAUACUUCCUCUUGGAAUAGUUCAGUAGAAUAAUGAUUUUUUUUUUAAAAAGUAUUCCUAUAAUUAGGAAGGAUAAGCACUGACAGAUAUGACUUAUUUCCUUACCAGCAUUUCAAAGUCAGAAUCAAUUUCAAGCCAACUGUAAACCCAUUUGUAGAUAUACUGCCUGUAGUUCAGUUAAGAAGAAAUGGUUUCUUUCUGAAAUAACAGAAUUAACUGUCAUACCUAAUAUCUAUGUCUGUGUCUGUAUCAGUGAGGGGAUUGUUGGCUACUGCGGGGCAGGGUCUGGGACAGAGUAGGUGCUUGCUGUAUGUUUUUGAAUUACGUAACUUCUUUAUAGGUGGCUUAUAGGUAGUUUUAGUUUCUCAAAUGGCUUCUCUAAUGGCACCAGUCUUAUUCUUUGAUCUUGUUCUUUUAGGCUUGCAAAGGGUGGCAUUAAGUAUAUCCAGCACUGCAGCUAAGGCUUCAUGUGCAGACACAGGCUUACCCUCUCAAGAGCUCACAAGGAGAAGUGAGAUCAAAGUGUGUUGGCACGAUGGUGGGGGGCCUGGAGGAGCUUUUUUGCUCCUCAUGAUCAUAGCAAGCAUACCCUGUGGAUUUGUGUCUAGGCCUCAUUCUGUAGUUGACAUUGUUCUUGAGUAGAAAACCAUCGAAACCCACCAGUGUGGUAAGAUGAAGGAAAUAGUAUCUUAUGUCCAUUAAAAGGGACUGCUUGUUAUUCCAGAAAAUUAAUGUAUCUGAAGCCAAGGCAUGCCUUUUGAAAUUUAGCAAUUGAUUCAGCAAUGCUUGGCAUUUAUGGUGCGAACACAUUGUGGAGAAAUUGAGUAACUUCAGAAAACCCCAACAUGUCUUUUUCUUUUAAAGUAGAUCUAACAUGGAUGCCUGCCUCUCAUCUGAAGAUGGGCGAAGCAUAAUUGCAUUGAUGUAGGAAGCAGCUUGAGAAGGCAAGAUAUGCAUUCCUAUUUAAUGGUUACCUUACUUUGAGUCAGAUACCUGAUUAACUGAAUUUCAGUUCUGAGGUUUUCUCAAGUCUGCACAAGUCCAUUUCCCUGUAUUCCCUAAGCCAAUAUCGUUGAAACUCUCUUAAGUGGAGGCAAGUUACAGCCCUCCAGUAUAAACAGUGGCACUAUUGAUGGGCAGUUGAUACCAUUUGAGAAUCUGAACCAGCGAGCGCUGACAGGGCUGUGAGGAAAUGUGCCACGGUGGGCUUCACUGUCCAUUCCAUCCCUGAAUGAAUGCAAGCCUUUGAGAGGUGUGCUACUAAGGAUCCCACAUGGUGGAUUGAGUGUCUUGGUUUUAAAUAAAACAGGAGCAGUAAGGAAGCUUGUUGUGACAAAUGGAAUCGCUGCGCCCUGCCCUCCACCUUGCCUCACAAUCUAACAAGAGCCUUUGGCAUAGGAAUCGGAAGGAACUGCUCAGAGGAGUCAAUUACAGCACAGAGGCAAGAGAAGAGAGACCAUGUCUGGCCCUUGGCCAGUUGUACUUCAGAGCAGACAGGCACUGUCAGCCCUUUCUCUGCUUCUUUCUACAGAGAGUUAAGAAAAGAUGCAUUUGAUGGUGGUGAGAAGUGGAGAGAAAUCCCUCCUUUUUCAAAGUCAUCUUUUGCUGCAAAACUACCUUAGGUCUACCCAAACAUAAAUUCCUGGAACGCACUUUUCCUGGAACUCCAAUGGAAUGCAAACACUGAUUUUGAACACCUAAUAUUAUUCCAGCACUUUAUUAUGGCCCAUGCCCUGUUCUGAGCAUUUUACAUGGACUUUACCCAUUUAAUCCUUAAAGUGAUAUUUCAACCAAUGAGCUAUGCCUAAUACUGUGUUCCUUGUGUUCUUCUUAGGGUUAUAUGGUAACCUCAGAUAUAUGUGUUGGCCCCCAUUAGUUCCCAAAAAAUAUUUUUUCCAGGAGUAGGGCUACAUUUUAUAAAAUAAGAAUGGUUUAUAAUAAAAUAAAAAGUGUAGCUUACAGUAACUUUUUGUUAUUCGAAAUGUAUAUAAAAAAAGAUACCAACUUAUACAAAACUUCGUUUGUAUUCUUUUAAAGUUUUGUUCCUGUUUUGUUAAAUGAUAGGCCUUUUGAGAUAGAUUUAUUUGAAAGCCAUAUGUGUGCAAUUCUUGGGACAGAAGAUUUCUCCAUUUAGCAUUUAAAGUUAUAAACUCUGUACUCUAGUGAUUCUUGAAGUAAUUUGGAAUAUGGAAAUAUGAAUAGUUUUACCUCCAUCACUCUGGUUAUUGUCCCAUGUUCUAAAAUCAUAACAUAAAAAUAUAAACUUACUAUGGAACUCCUUGUUGUCUUAUCAUGCGCCCCUUACGGGCUCAUUAAUGGGCUCAUUGAUGCCAAUGUCCACUGAGGGAGCUGAGAGGAGGGGCAUAUACAGGUAAUGAUGUCUUUUCAUGAGAAGAA